Molecule: ribosomal RNA, 428 nt
Filed under: Chloroflexota bacterium
Lineage: Bacteria; Bacillati; Chloroflexota
Description: Chloroflexi bacterium partial 16S ribosomal RNA
Rfam family: Bacterial small subunit ribosomal RNA
Source: RNAcentral
UGGGGAAUAUUGCACAAUGGGCGCAAGCCUGAUGCAGCCAUGCCGCGUGUGUGAAGAAGGCCUUCGGGUUGUAAAGCACUUUCAGCGGGGAGGAAGGCGAUAAGGUUAAUAACCUUGUCGAUUGACGUUACCCGCAGAAGAAGCACCGGCUAACUCCGUGCCAGCAGCCGCGGUAAUACGGAGGGUGCAAGCGUUAAUCGGAAUUACUGGGCGUAAAGCGCACGCAGGCGGUUGAUUGAGUCAGAUGUGAAAUCCCCGGGCUUAACCCGGGAAUUGCAUCUGAUACUGGUCAGCUAGAGUCUUGUAGAGGGGGGUAGAAUUCCAUGUGUAGCGGUGAAAUGCGUAGAGAUGUGAGGAAUACCGGUGGCGAAGGCGGCCCCCUGGACAAAGACUGACGCUCAGGUGCGAAAGCGUGGGGAGCAAACAGG